This 221-nucleotide ribosomal RNA is filed under the name uncultured bacterium. RNAcentral describes it as "partial 16S ribosomal RNA". It matches the Rfam family "Bacterial small subunit ribosomal RNA", at positions 524 to 743 of the family's 1533-position model. The record is from RNAcentral.
CACGUAGGGUGCGAGCGUUGUCCGGAAUUAUUGGGCGUAAAGAGCUCGUAGGCGGUGUGUCACGUCGGCUGUGAAAACCCGAGGCUCAACCUCGGGCCUGCAGUCGAUACGGGCAAACUAGAGUACUGCAGGGGAGACUGGAAUUCCUGGUGUAGCGGUGAAAUGCGCAGAUAUCAGGAGGAACACCGGUGGCGAAGGCGGGUCUCUGGACGAGUUCCUGA